This 542-nucleotide ribosomal RNA is filed under the name uncultured bacterium. RNAcentral describes it as "bacterial SSU rRNA". It matches the Rfam family "Bacterial small subunit ribosomal RNA", at positions 772 to 1313 of the family's 1533-position model. The record is from RNAcentral.
ACCGAAUAGAUACCCGGGUAGUCCACGCCCUAAACGAUGCGAACUGGAUGUUGGGUACAUUACGGUACUCAGUGUCGGAGCUAAACGCGUUAAGUUCGCCGCCUGGGGAGUACGGUCGCAAGACUGAAACUCAAAGGAAUUGACGGGGGCCCGCACAAGCGGUGGAGUAUGUGGUUUAAUUCGAUGCAACGCGAAGAACCUUACCUGGCCUUGACAUCUGUCGAAUCCUGCAGAGAUGCGGAGUGCCGCAAGGAACGACAAGACAGGUGCUGCAUGGCUGUCGUCAGCUCGUGUCGUGAGAUGUUGGGUUAAGUCCCGCAACGAGCGCAACCCUUGUCCCUAGUUGCCAACACGUAAUGGUGGGAACUCUAGGGAGACUGCCGGUGACAAACCGGAGGAAGGUGGGGAUGACGUCAAGUCCUCAUGGCCCUUACGGCCAGGGCUACACACGUACUACAAUGGUCGGUACAGAGGGUUGCGAAGCCGCGAGGUGGAGCCAAUCCCAGAAAGCCGAUCCCAGUCCGGAUUGGAGUCUGCAACUC